This 298-nucleotide unclassified non-coding RNA is filed under the name uncultured fungus. RNAcentral describes it as "sequence contains ITS1". The stretch from base 1 to 97 matches the Rfam family "5.8S ribosomal RNA", at positions 50 to 154 of the family's 154-position model. Lineage: Eukaryota; Fungi. The record is from RNAcentral.
GAAAUGCGAUACGCAAUGCGAAUUGCAGAACCGUGAGUCAUCAGAUUUUUGAACGCAAGUGGCGGUGGCCUAGGCCAUCAUGUUUGUUUCAGUGUGUUCGGUUAAUUACAUCAAAGAACUAAAUGUGAUUGAAGCAAUUCUCUCACUUAGUACGAAGUAAUGUCAGCCCGAGCAUUAGGCGAAUCAGUCACUAACAUGGUGAUAAUCGUUUAAGUGCGAACAGCUGUAGAAUCUUUACUUGAAAAACCAUUAUCCAAUCAUAACACCUGAAAUAAGCAAGAUUACCCGCUGAACUUAA